ACUUACCUGAGGUCACAUAGUCAGCUUCACCUGAUUGUCAGGAAAGUAACCCUGUGAACCCUAGCUGGGGAGAAGAACCUAAAGGCAAGAGAGAGAACCGUUCUAUAGGACCCGGGAGGAUUUGCCAUCAUCUGAAGGAAGACUGAAUCUUGUCUGCUCUGGGGAGGCACGGAGGAGCCUGUGACUUGUGAGUUCCAGUAAUCAUUGUACAUCUCUGCUUCUGCCUUUGCCAAUGAGCCUGAUUUUAGGCAGAGAAAGAAGAUUCUGCCUAACAAAGUAGAGACAGGUAUCCUGGAGUUCAUGAAAGACGUGUAGCUGAUUCAGCGCUGCCCUUGAAGUAAACCUGACCAUCUCAUUUCCAACUUCUUUUUGGAUGAAGUCUAACUCAAGAUCUCAUGCAAUUGACUCCC
Homo sapiens (human) is the source of this 410-nucleotide long non-coding RNA. RefSeq lists it as uncharacterized. The transcript has 4 exons. The record is from RefSeq and is a predicted model, not a curated record. Lineage: Eukaryota; Metazoa; Chordata; Mammalia; Primates; Hominidae.